AGGGUUCACGCAGAGCAGCUGA
Molecule: unclassified non-coding RNA, 22 nt
Filed under: Mus musculus (house mouse)
Lineage: Eukaryota; Metazoa; Chordata; Mammalia; Rodentia; Muridae
Description: oocyte_clustered_small_RNA127
Source: RNAcentral